RNAcentral lists this ribosomal RNA (176 nucleotides) under Enterococcus malodoratus. RNAcentral's name for it is "16S rRNA. Bacterial SSU". It matches the Rfam family "Bacterial small subunit ribosomal RNA", at positions 1 to 159 of the family's 1533-position model. The record is from RNAcentral. Lineage: Bacteria; Bacillati; Bacillota; Bacilli; Lactobacillales; Enterococcaceae.
CUUUUUAUGAGAGUUUGAUCCUGGCUCAGGACGAACGCUGGCGGCGUGCCUAAUACAUGCAAGUCGAACGCUUUUUCUUUCACCGGAGCUUGCUCCACCGAAAGAAAAGGAGUGGCGAACGGGUGAGUAACACGUGGGUAACCUGCCCAUCAGAAGGGGAUAACACUUGGAAAUAG